Molecule: non-coding RNA, 27 nt
Filed under: Rattus norvegicus (Norway rat)
Lineage: Eukaryota; Metazoa; Chordata; Mammalia; Rodentia; Muridae
Source: RNAcentral
UGAGUUGUGUCUUAUGUGUCCAUGCCC